Molecule: long non-coding RNA, 424 nt
Filed under: Lathyrus oleraceus (garden pea)
Lineage: Eukaryota; Viridiplantae; Streptophyta; Magnoliopsida; Fabales; Fabaceae
Description: Pisum sativum (pea) long non-coding RNA (PSAT_LNC002436)
Source: RNAcentral
UUCCUUUGGUGUCACUUGAGCAUCAGCUUGGGCUUCAGGCCCAUCGUUCUUAUUACCUGCACCGCCAAUUCCCUGUUUGAACCUCCCCAUUCUGAACCAAGCACAACAUGUCGGGCUUAUGCUAAAGCCCAUCCAUAAGUGCUUCUUGCACCAUGCAAUCGACAUACAUCGCUGCAUUUCUUUUUAUUCCUCUAAUCUUUUCUUUUUGUUUUUUUAGUUAUUAGUUUUCAAAUACAUUUUUAAUACUUUGUUAAUUAAUCAAAUACAUUUGAUACUUUGUUAAAUAUGUAAUUACAUUUUGGAGCUUAAAUACUUUUUAGAUUGUAAGUGUCUUUGUUACCAUUUAAUCAACAUUUUGAAAAAGAUUAGUAUAGUAAUGACCCUUAGCUUUAAUUGCAUGACAUUUAGAUUUUGUUAGAAAAAU